UAGGUGGUUUGUCGCGUUGUUCGUGAAAUCUCACGGCUUAACUGUGAGCGUGCGGGCGAUACGGGCAGACUUGAGUACUGCAGGGGAGACUGGAAUUCCUGGUGUAGCGGUGGAAUGCGCAGAUAUCAGGAGGAACACCGGUGGCGAAGGCGGGUCUCUGGGCAGUAACUGACGCUGAGGAGCGAAAGCGUGGGGAGCGAACAGGAUUAGAUACCCUGGUAGUCCACGCCGUAAACGGUGGGUACUAGGUGUGGGUUUCCUUCCUUGGGAUCCGUGCCGUAGCUAACGCAUUAAGUACCCCGCCUGGGGAGUACGGCCGCAAGGCUAAAACUCAAAGAAAUUGACGGGGGCCCGCACAAGCGGCGGAGCAUGUGGAUUAAUUCGAUGCAACGCGAAGAACCUUACCUGGGUUUGACAUGCACAGGACGCCGGCAGAGAUGUCGGUUCCCUUGUGGCCUGUGUGCAGGUGGUGCAUGGCUGUCGUCAGCUCGUGUCGUGAGAUGUUGGGUUAAGUCCCGCAACGAGCGCAACCCUUGUCUCAUGUUGCCAGCGGGUAAUGCCGGGGACUCGUGAGAGACUGCCGGGGUCAACUCGGAGGAAGGUGGGGAUGACGUCAAGUCAUCAUGCCCCUUAUGUCCAGGGCUUCACACAUGCUACAAUGGCCGGUACAAAGGGCUGCGAUGCCGCGAGGUUAAGCGAAUCCUUUUAAAGCCGGUCUCAGUUCGGAUCGGGGUCUGCAACUCGACCCCGUG
RNAcentral lists this ribosomal RNA (752 nucleotides) under uncultured bacterium. RNAcentral describes it as "bacterial SSU rRNA". It matches the Rfam family "Bacterial small subunit ribosomal RNA", at positions 572 to 1322 of the family's 1533-position model. The record is from RNAcentral.